RNAcentral lists this ribosomal RNA (435 nucleotides) under Hoshihanomia perlata. RNAcentral's name for it is "partial 16S ribosomal RNA". It matches the Rfam family "Archaeal large subunit ribosomal RNA", at positions 1938 to 2610 of the family's 2987-position model. Lineage: Eukaryota; Metazoa; Arthropoda; Insecta; Coleoptera; Mordellidae. The record is from RNAcentral.
UUUAAAGUCUGGCCUGCCCACUGAUAUUUGAAUGGCCGCAGUAUAUUGACUGUGCAAAGGUAGCAUAAUCAUUAGUUUUUUGAUUGGGAACUGGUAUGAAUGGUCGGAUGGAAAAGAACUGUCUCUUAACAGAUUGUAUAGAAUUUUAUUUUUAAGUAAAAAAGCUUAAAUUUUUUAGAAAGACGAGAAGACCCUAUAGAGUUUUAUAUGUAGGAAUAUUAAUUUUAUAGAUAGUUGAAUAAUUAGUUUUUAAAUGUAUUUAGUUGGGGUGAUGUAAAAAUUGGUUUAACUUUUUAAUUAUGAUUUACACUAAUUAGUGAUUAUUUGAUCCUGGAUUUCUGGAUUGAUAGAUUAAAUUACCUUAGGGAUAACAGCGUAAUUUUUCCUGAGAGUUCUUAUUGAAGGAAUAGUUUGCGACCUCGAUGUUGAAUUAAA